This 301-nucleotide ribosomal RNA is filed under the name uncultured bacterium. Its description in RNAcentral is "partial 16S ribosomal RNA". It matches the Rfam family "Bacterial small subunit ribosomal RNA", at positions 509 to 807 of the family's 1533-position model. The record is from RNAcentral.
CAGUCGCCACGGUAAUACGAAGGGGGCUAGCGUUGCUCGGAAUGACUGGGCGUAAAGGGCGCGUAGGCGGCGAUCAAAGUCAGGCGUGAAAUUCCUGGGCUCAACCUGGGGGCUGCGUUUGAUACUUGAUUGCUAGAGUGGGGAAGAGGGUCGUGGAAUUCCCAGUGUAGAGGUGAAAUUCGUAGAUAUUGGGAAGAACACCGGUGGCGAAGGCGGCGACCUGGUCCUUGACUGACGCUGAGGCGCGAAAGCGUGGGGAGCAAACAGGAUUAGAUACCCGCGUAGUCCCUGUCUCUUAUAC